AGCAAUCCUAGCGGCGAACGGCUGCGUAACACGUUGGUACCUACCCCGAACUCAGGGAUAACCAUCCGAAAGGAUGGCUAAUACCGGAUGGUCUCGUAAGAGUAAAGCUUCGGCGGUUCGGGAGGGGCCUGCGGCCUAUCAGGUAGUUGGUAAGGUAACGGCUUACCAAGCCUAUGACGGGUAGCUGAUUUGAGAGAAUGAUCAGCCAGAAUGGAACUGAGACACGGUCCAU
This 232-nucleotide ribosomal RNA is filed under the name uncultured bacterium. RNAcentral's name for it is "partial 16S ribosomal RNA". It matches the Rfam family "Bacterial small subunit ribosomal RNA", at positions 85 to 334 of the family's 1533-position model. The record is from RNAcentral.